GGGCGUAUAGCUCAGUUGGUUAGAGCACAGUCCUGAUAAGACUGAGGUCCCAAGUUCGAGACUUGGUACGCCCACCA
Molecule: transfer RNA, 77 nt
Filed under: Candidatus Dojkabacteria bacterium HGW-Dojkabacteria-1
Lineage: Bacteria
Description: tRNA-Ile
Source: RNAcentral